RNAcentral lists this transfer RNA (73 nucleotides) under Anaerolineales bacterium. RNAcentral's name for it is "tRNA-Glu". It matches the Rfam family "tRNA". Rfam says of the family: Transfer RNA (tRNA) molecules are approximately 80 nucleotides in length. Their secondary structure includes four short double-helical elements and three loops (D, anti-codon, and T loops). Lineage: Bacteria; Bacillati; Chloroflexota; Anaerolineae; Anaerolineales. The record is from RNAcentral.
GCCCCCAUCGUCUAGUGGACCAGGACACGGCCCUUUCAAGGCCUAAACUGGGGUUCGAAUCCCCAUGGGGGCA